RNAcentral lists this ribosomal RNA (475 nucleotides) under uncultured bacterium. RNAcentral describes it as "partial 16S ribosomal RNA". It matches the Rfam family "Bacterial small subunit ribosomal RNA", at positions 355 to 822 of the family's 1533-position model. The record is from RNAcentral.
UGGGGAAUUUUGGACAAUGGGCGAAAGCCUGAUCCAGCAAUGCCGCGUGUGUGAAGAAGGCCUUCGGGUUGUAAAGCACUUUUGUCCGGAAAGAAAUCCUUGGCUCUAAUACAGUCGGGGGAUGACGGUACCGGAAGAAUAAGCACCGGCUAACUACGUGCCAAGCAGCCGCGGUAAUACGUAGGGUGCAAGCGUUAAUCGGAAUUACUGGGCGUAAAGCGUGCGCAGGCGGUUUGCUAAGACCGAUGUGAAAUCCCCGGGCUCAACCUGGGAACUGCAUUGGUGACUGGCAGGCUAGAGUAUGGCAGAGGGGGGUAGAAUUCCACGUGUAGCAGUGAAAUGCGUAGAGAUGUGGAGGAAUACCGAUGGCGAAGGCAGCCCCCUGGGCCAAUACUGACGCUCAUGCACGAAAGCGUGGGAGCAAACAGGAUUAGAUACCCUGGUAGUCCACGCCCUAAACGAUGUCAACUAGUUG